Lycium barbarum (goji berry) is the source of this 2973-nucleotide RNA transcript. RefSeq lists it as uncharacterized. The transcript has 6 exons. Lineage: Eukaryota; Viridiplantae; Streptophyta; Magnoliopsida; Solanales; Solanaceae. The record is from RefSeq and is a predicted model, not a curated record.
CACACCUGCACAUGUAAAUCCUACGUAAGGUGUAAGCAUACAUGCAUAUUUUUAAGAGUUAGUUACACUGUAUGUUAAUUGGGGCGCAAUUACAACCAAAUUGGGCUCAUAUUUGAAGUUCUUACCCGCAGUAGCCCACACUCAGUGUAAACUUAAUUUACUUUACACUCUGUUAGCCCAUUACACUUAAAAGAUAUUUUCAACCUCAGUUCCGUUACUUUCUCUUCUUUCUUCCUACUUCUUCUUCACGAUUUCAACUUCAAGCUCAGGUCAAAAUGUCUGUAUCUAGAAGUUGUUUGAAGAUUGCCGGUAGAGGGAUUGAAUACAAUACUGGCAUAUCGAGCAAUUUGCCUUCGACCCCUGAUGUUGCAAUUGAUGAUGAUUUCGAGUCCCCUGUUGUUCGUACAAAGAGUUGUCAACAAGAAAGCACACGAAUCACCUGCUUGCAGCUGAAGAAGGUUGAUAACCUUGUUAAGAAUAUCAAGCCGACGACUAAGAAAUGUGGUCGACCUGAGAAAGCUAAAGUGAGGUUGAAACUUGUCGAUAAAGAUGAUGCUACUAAAAAAAAAAGAGAAAGGUCGUCAAUGUUGCUAAAUGUAGUUCUUAUGCAUUAUCGAAAGAACAAAGGGAAUCUAUUCGAUGUAAAUUUAAUGAAAGAAAAUCUCAGUUGAAGGUCGGUGACUUCUAUAUACAACUGAAUGAACAUUUUCGGACUAGGAUUAGUUGUCAUACGAAGACUGAUAUUAUCGGCUUUUUGAGGGAAUACUUGAGUGAUAUGCAACUUCAAAUCUUCUGUGAUAGUUGUUUUGGAUAUUUCUUAGGCCUUCCUGCUUUUAAGAUUCAGAACCAGCUUAUACAUUGCAUGUUACUGAGAGAGGUUGUCCCCGGUGCGUUAAGAGAGUUGUGGAUUAAACUCAAUGGUUGUAUAUUGAGUUUUGGUAUUGGAGAGUUUGCUGUUAUUACUGGUUUAAAGUGUCUUGAAGAUGAUGCAACUAUGUAUGACAAACCAAGUGCCAGUAGGUUGAUGGAAACAGCAAACUCUCCAAGAUGGGUUUGAUGUUAUUCAUCCACCAUUUCUUAUUCUCGGAUACCAAUGAUCACUCCAUCACCAAAGCAGAUUUUGAUAUUAUUGAAAGUGGUAAAUAUCAGACUUAUGCUUGGGGGGGAAUAUGCUUUGAAGAGAUUCUCAAAACAACAACGGAUAAACAGUAAUAUGGAGCAGCAGCUUAAACAACCUCAUCCUCAGAAUACGGAACAACAACCGUAUUAAGAUGCUAUCCUUCUGGGAGCAGUGAUGGGUUGACGGCUGAAGUUGCUCAGUUGAGGAGCGACGUUUCAGAGCUUACUGGUAAAGUUGUGGCACUCAACACUUACAUCGUAUCUUCCUUUGGAGUCAUAUUCAAGCAUCUAAAAAUUAAGCAACCGAGUGAUCAAGGCAAUGCUGAUGAGGACAGUACAUCUGGGCUAGGCAAUGAUGGGUUUGACAAUAAUGAUUAUGUUCCACCUCCUUCCCCCCUCUCCCUUCCCGAACAUCGCAUGAUCUAAAUAUGCAAGGUGACCAAACAACGUCAAGUGUCAAGGGAAAUGGAGAGGGUACUGAUGUCCCCCCCCCCCCCCCCCCCCCCCCCCGGGGAGCAAGUGCAUGACCUAAACAUGCGAUCUGACCAAAAUGCAUCAUGUGUCAAGGGAAAGUAGCAAAUUACUGAUGGUCUUCCUGGAAUGUUUUCGUCCUGUACUUGGUUUUUUUUUUUCUGCCUUCGGAUUGAAACCUUUUGAUUAAUCUUUUUCUCUGUCUAAGUGGUAGCAAGUGAUGGUGUUGAGCCCUCCGAGCAAGUGCAUGAAGUAAACAUGCAAUCUAACCAAACAAAAUCAAGUGUCUAGGAAAAUGAGGAAGUUACUGAUGGUCAUCUUGGUAUUUUUUAAUGAACUUUCUUUUUCUUUCUCUGCCUUCAUAUUUUUAUUAAUCUUUUUCCUCUUUCUAAGUGGAAGCAGUUGAUGGUAUCAAGGACGAUCCUUGGUAUGGUUUUACUGAUGGAGAGUUUGCCAAUAUAAAGAUGUCCCAGUUUGUGCUCCCUAGACCUUGGGAUAUUAGUGAUGAAGAGGUUGGUAAGAUAAAGAUUUCCUAGAUUGGGCUUCCUAUACCACUCGUCAUGGAAGUAGAAGAAAAAGACGUGACUCCAGAAAAAUUGGCACGAAAAAAAUUUCCAAGAAAAUUAGCCCAAGAUCCAUAUGUGGAAAAUUUUGAUUCGGGUACAUCUAAGUGUAUUUUUGAUAUCAAGCAUCCUUUCAUGAGUGACAUUGAUGAUCUUUAUGCCUUGUCGGGUUUGGCCCAAGAGUUUGUGGAAUUCGUUGAGGAUGGGAUGAAUAUGACACGACGGUAACUUUUACUCAUUUUACGCUCUUUAUGUUCUGGUUUUUACACUUUGCAAAUUUCCCAGGGGUGUUCUUUUCUUCAUGAUUUUUAAGUCCCAAAACUCUGUAUCGUGAUGGAAAAAUGAUCUGCCCGAAGAUUUUAUUUUCGGCUCCUGUCAUAUAAACACGAAGGACUGGUUCAAGGCGCUUGCACAUAGUGGUCGACCUUUAAAGGACACGUGAUUGUGGAGUUUUUGUUGUUGUCUUUGCUGAUUAUUUCAUGCAUGGUAAAGAAAUCACAAAAGACAAUAUUGACAUUGAGGUACAUCGCACCAGGUAUGGAUCCUUGUUGUGGGAUUAUGGAAGAAAAAACAAAAGGUUGAUGCAACUAGCGGGACUAAAGAAGUUACUGGCAGAUGGUUCGGGAGGAGGAAGAGGAAAUAUGAGGAAAAGUAGGGGGCUGCAUAUCAAUGCUUUUUAAAUUUUACUUAGAUGUUUUGAAGCGGUAAUGUAAAGUAAAGACAAUGUGGCUUUUGGAAGGGAAUUUGACUAAGCUGUUUUGAUGCAAUACUGUAAAGUACAAUGAUGUUGCUAACCAAUGAAAUGCACUUUUAUUGUGUA